Molecule: ribosomal RNA, 253 nt
Filed under: uncultured bacterium
Lineage: Bacteria
Description: partial 16S ribosomal RNA
Rfam family: Bacterial small subunit ribosomal RNA
Source: RNAcentral
UACAGAGGUCUCAAGCGUUGUUCGGAUUCAUUGGGCGUAAAGGGUGUGUAGGUGGCGCCGUAAGUCGGGUGUGAAAUUUCGGAGCUUAACUCCGAGACUGCAUUCGAUACUGCGGUGCUUGAGGACUGGAGAGGAGACUGGAAUUCAUGGUGUAGCAGUGAAAUGCGUAGAGAUCAUGAGGAAGACCAGUGGCGAAGGCGGGUCUCUGGACAGUUCCUGACACUGAGACACGAAGGCCAGGGGAGCAAACGGG